UGUAAGUAAAUAUUAAUUACGAAAGCAAAAAAUUAUGGCGGUAUUUUAAGCUUUUCAGAGGAAUUUGCUCUUUAAUGGAUAAAACACCUAAAUCUUACUUAAAUUUGUUAAGUCAAUUUGUAUACCACUAUUAAAUUAAUUAUUAAUUUUAAUUUAUAAAAUUUAUGCAAAUUUAAAAAAAAUUAAGUCAAGGUGCAGUAAAAAUUUAAGAAUGAAGUGAAUUACAUUUCUUUUAAGAGAUUAUUAAAAUUAAAAUUUUAAUUUAGGAUUUGAAAGUAAAAUUAAAAUAGAAUGUUAAUUUGAAUUAAGCUCUAAAAUAUGUACACAUCGCCCUCGCCUCUCAUAUA
This 347-nucleotide ribosomal RNA is filed under the name Rhipicephalus microplus (southern cattle tick). Its description in RNAcentral is "partial 12S ribosomal RNA". Lineage: Eukaryota; Metazoa; Arthropoda; Arachnida; Ixodida; Ixodidae. The record is from RNAcentral.